Long non-coding RNA from Erigeron canadensis, 776 nucleotides. RefSeq lists it as uncharacterized. The transcript has 2 exons. NCBI's taxonomy places the organism in Eukaryota, Viridiplantae, Streptophyta, Magnoliopsida, Asterales, Asteraceae. The record is from RefSeq and is a predicted model, not a curated record.
UCGGCACAUACGCACAAUAUUAGAUGGAGAGAAACGGUUCUCUCUUCCAUUUUUGCGAGACACACAAAUACAAACAUCAAGUUUGUAUAAAAAAUGGUUGGUUUCUUUCCAUUGAUACCCAAGACGAACCAUCGAAUACUUUUGGUACAAGAUAUCUCAAUGAAUCAAAAUCUAGUUCUUGAAUGGGAAACCAGUCUUAUCCGAUCAAAAAUUUGGGUGUACCUCCAAAUGGUUUGUUCUGAAAGUGAUUACACGAUUCUGGUUCCAAUCCAAGUUAUUUACUUAUUUUGUUGUUCGGGUUACGGGAUUUUACAUGAACAGGUUUGUAUACGGCAUUUACGGGAUCAAAUAGGGAGCUCUAUUUAAGAUUCUAGUGGCAAUGGGGGUAAUCAAAUCCAAUCAUAUUCCUGACAACUUAGUCGCUUUUGAGAUGAUGCUUUUCUCUAUUUUUCAAUGUUUUGCAUUCUCCCCUGGAUUGUAUAGUGUUUCUCAGUCCUCUCCUUAGAUGAAAAGCACUAAAUUAGCUGCAAUUGCCCAACCUAAGUUUGAUGAGCUAAAGAAGAAGUGAAUGUGAAUCUGCAUUAAUGUGUAUUUUGAUAUAUGUGUGGGAAAAUACAUUAAUAUUCAAAAGUUUAUGGGUGAGUGUCAGACAUACAUUUAGCAUGUGUUGACAAAUUCCUUUAUGCCAGAGAAUACACAUUUGCUGAGUAAUUAGAGAAGGGUCCGAUGUAAUGCCUGAAAGUUAAUGGGUGAAUGUUAAACAUGUAUUUAGUAUC